This 209-nucleotide unclassified non-coding RNA is filed under the name fungal sp. RNAcentral describes it as "partial internal transcribed spacer region". The stretch from base 1 to 46 matches the Rfam family "Eukaryotic small subunit ribosomal RNA", at positions 1786 to 1831 of the family's 1831-position model. Lineage: Eukaryota; Fungi. The record is from RNAcentral.
AAGUCGUAACAAGGUUUCCGUAGGUGAACCUGCGGAAGGAUCAUUAUCGGGAGUGCCCUCGUGGCUCAACCUGCAACCCCAUGUUUAUCAAACCCUUGUUUCUUUGGCGGGCCCGCCCGUCAGAAGAAUACCGAAACUCGUUGUCAACGUGUCCUCUGAAUCACAAAAAGAAAUAAGCAAAACUUUCAACAACGGAUCUCUUGGUUCUG